Molecule: ribosomal RNA, 729 nt
Filed under: Arthrobacter sp.
Lineage: Bacteria; Bacillati; Actinomycetota; Actinomycetes; Micrococcales; Micrococcaceae
Description: bacterial SSU rRNA
Rfam family: Bacterial small subunit ribosomal RNA
Source: RNAcentral
UGGUGUAGCGGUGAAAUGCGCAGAUAUCAGGAGGAACACCGAUGGCGAAGGCAGGUCUCUGGGCUGUAACUGACGCUGAGGAGCGAAAGCAUGGGGAGCGAACAGGAUUAGAUACCCUGGUAGUCCAUGCCGUAAACGUUGGGCACUAGGUGUGGGGGACAUUCCACGUUUUCCGCGCCGUAGCUAACGCAUUAAGUGCCCCGCCUGGGGAGUACGGCCGCAAGGCUAAAACUCAAAGGAAUUGACGGGGGCCCGCACAAGCGGCGGAGCAUGCGGAUUAAUUUGAUGCAACGCGAAGAACCUUACCAAGGCUUGACAUGGACCGGAAAGACCUGGAAACAGGUGCCCCGCUUGCGGCCGGUUUACAGGUGGUGCAUGGUUGUCGUCAGCUCGUGUCGUGAGAUGUUGGGUUAAGUCCCGCAACGAGCGCAACCCUCGUUCUAUGUUGCCAGCGGUUCGGCCGGGGACUCAUAGGAGACUGCCGGGGUCAACUCGGAGGAAGGUGGGGACGACGUCAAAUCAUCAUGCCCCUUAUGUCUUGGGCUUCACGCAUGCUACAAUGGCCGGUACAAAGGGUUGCGAUACUGUGAGGUGGAGCUAAUCCCAAAAAGCCGGUCUCAGUUCGGAUUGGGGUCUGCAACUCGACCCCAUGAAGUCGGAGUCGCUAGUAAUCGCAGAUCAGCAACGCUGCGGUGAAUACGUUCCCGGGCCUUGUACACACCGCCCGUC